CCUACGGGAGGCAGCAGUGGGGAAUAUUGGACAAUGGGCGAAAGCCUGAUCCAGCCAUGCCGCGUGUGUGAAGAAGGCCUUCGGGUUGUAAAGCACUUUCAGUGGGGAAGAAAGCCUUGGGGCUAAUACCCUCGAGGAAGGACAUCACCCACAGAAGAAGCACCGGCUAACUCCGUGCCAGCAGCCGCGGUAAUACGGAGGGUGCGAGCGUUAAUCGGAAUUACUGGGCGUAAAGCGCGCGUAGGCGGUCUGAUAAGCAGGUUGUGAAAGCCCCGGGCUCAACCUGGGAACGGCAUCCGGAACUGUCAGGCUAGAGUGCAGGAGAGGAAGGUAGAAUUCCCGGGGUAGCGGUGAAAUGCGUAGAGAUCGGGAGGAAUACCAGUGGCGAAGGCGGCCUUCUGGACUUACACUGACGCUGAGGUGCGAAAGCGUGGGUAGCAAACAGGAUUAGAUACCCCUGUAUC
RNAcentral lists this ribosomal RNA (464 nucleotides) under Vreelandella stevensii. RNAcentral describes it as "partial 16S ribosomal RNA". It matches the Rfam family "Bacterial small subunit ribosomal RNA", at positions 338 to 794 of the family's 1533-position model. The record is from RNAcentral. Lineage: Bacteria; Pseudomonadati; Pseudomonadota; Gammaproteobacteria; Oceanospirillales; Halomonadaceae.